RNAcentral lists this ribosomal RNA (253 nucleotides) under uncultured bacterium. RNAcentral describes it as "partial 16S ribosomal RNA". It matches the Rfam family "Bacterial small subunit ribosomal RNA", at positions 524 to 776 of the family's 1533-position model. The record is from RNAcentral.
UACGUAGGGGGCUAGCGUUGUCCGGAAUCAUUGGGCGUAAAGAGCGUGUAGGCGGCUCGGUAAGUCCGCUGUGAAAGUCCAGGGCUCAACCCUGGAAUGCCAGUGGAAACUGUCGAGCUAGAGUCCGGAAGAGGCGAGUGGAAUUCCUGGUGUAGCGGUGAAAUGCGCAGAUAUCAGGAGGAACACCUGUGGCGAAAGCGGCUCACUGGACCAUAACUGACGCUGAUGCACGAAAGCUAGGGGAGCAAACAGG